ACCCGCUGAACUUAAGCAUAUCAAUAAGCGGAGGAAAAGAAACCAACAGGGAUUGCCCUAGUAACGGCGUGUGAAGCGGCAACAGCUCAAAUUUGAAAUCUGGCUCUUUUAGAGUCCGAGUUGUAAUUUGCAGAGGGCGCUUUGGCUUUGGCAGCGGUCCAAGUUCCUUGGAACAGGACGUCACAGAGGGUGAGAAUCCCGUACGUGGUCGCUGGCUAUUGCCGUGUAAAGCCCCUUCGACGAGUCGAGUUGUUUGGGAAUGCAGCUCUAAAUGGGAGGUACAUUUCUUCUAAAGCUAAAUAUUGGCCAGAGACCGAUAGCGCACAAGUAGAGUGAUCGAAAGAUGAAAAGCACUUUGGAAAGAGAGUCAAACAGCACGUGAAAUUGUUGAAAGGGAAGCGCUUGCAGCCAGACUUGCUUACAGUUGCUCAUCCGGGCUUUUGCCCGGUGCACUCUUCUGUAGGCAGGCCAGCAUCAGUUUGGGCGGUAGGAUAAAGGUCUCUAUCACGUACCUCUCUUCGGGGAGGCCUUAUAGGGGAGACGACAUACUACCAGCCUGGACUGAGGUCCGCGCAUCUGCUAGGAUGCUGGCGUAAUGGCUGU
RNAcentral lists this ribosomal RNA (603 nucleotides) under uncultured fungus. RNAcentral's name for it is "eukaryotic LSU rRNA". It matches the Rfam family "Eukaryotic large subunit ribosomal RNA", at positions 23 to 641 of the family's 3401-position model. The record is from RNAcentral. Lineage: Eukaryota; Fungi.